Molecule: unclassified non-coding RNA, 345 nt
Filed under: soil metagenome
Description: partial contains 5.8S ribosomal RNA, internal transcribed spacer 2, and large subunit ribosomal RNA
Rfam family: 5.8S ribosomal RNA (bases 1-120)
Source: RNAcentral
GAUGAAGAACAUAGUGAAAUGCGAUACGUAAUGUGAAUUGCAGAAUUCAGUGAAUCAUCGAGUCUUUGAACGCACAUUGCGCCCCCUGGUAUUCCGGGGGGCAUGCCUGUCCGAGCGUCAUUGCUGCCCUCAAGCACGGCUUGUGUGUUGGGCCUCCGUCCUCCUCCCGGGGGACGGGCCCGAAAGGCAGCGGCGGCACCGCGUCCGGUCCUCGAGCGUAUGGGGCUUCGUCACCCGCUCUUGUAGGCCCGGCCGGCGCUUGCCGACACAUCAAUCUUUUUUCCAGGUUGACCUCGGAUCAGGUAGGGAUACCCGCUGAACUUAAGCAUAUCAAUAAGCGGAGGA